Molecule: ribosomal RNA, 253 nt
Filed under: uncultured bacterium
Lineage: Bacteria
Description: partial 16S ribosomal RNA
Rfam family: Bacterial small subunit ribosomal RNA
Source: RNAcentral
UACGGAGGGUGCAAGCGUUAUCCGGAUUCACUGGGUUUAAAGGGUGCGUAGGAGGGCAGGUAAGUCAGUGGUGAAAUCUCCGGGCUUAACCCGGAAACUGCCGUUGAUACUACCGGUCUUGAAUAUCGUGGAGGUGAGCGGAAUAUGUCAUGUAGCGGUGAAAUGCUUAGAUAUGACAUAGAACACCCAUUGCGAAGGCAGCUCACUACCCGAAUAUUGACACUGAGGCACGAAAGCGUGGGGAGCGAACAGG